Molecule: ribosomal RNA, 433 nt
Filed under: uncultured bacterium
Lineage: Bacteria
Description: partial 16S ribosomal RNA
Rfam family: Bacterial small subunit ribosomal RNA
Source: RNAcentral
AACGAACGCUGGCGGCAGGCUUAAUACAUGCAAGUCGAGCGCACCUUUCGGGGUGUGUGGCCGACGGGUGAGUAACGCGUGGGAAUCUUCACUUCUCUACGGGAUAGCUACGGGACACUGGUAAUAAUACCGUAUACGUGCUGAGGGCGAAGGACUUAUCGGGGAAGGUUGUGCUGGCGUGGGAUUUGCUAGUUGGAUGGGUAAAGGCUUCCCAAGGCGAGGAUUCAUAGCUGGUCUAAGAGGAUGAUCAGCCACACUGGGACUGAGACGCGGCCCAAACUCCUACGGGAGGCAGCAGUGGGGAAUAGUGGACAGUGGGCGCAAGCCUGAUCCAGCCAGGCCGCGAGAGUGAUGAAAGCCCUAGGGUUGUAAAGCUCAAUCAGCUGGGAAGAUAAUGACGGUACCCACAGAAGAAGCCCCGGCUAACUUCGUG